GCACCAAUCUAUCUGUUUGUUUUUUGAGACAGGGUCUCACUAUGUAGCUCUGGCUGUCCUUGAACUUGGAGUGAUCCUCCUGCCUCAGCCUCCCGAGUGCUGGGAUUACAGGUGUGCACACCACACCCAGAUCUCAGCUUGAAAGUCUCUUGUUGGUUGCAACUGUCUUGCUUGAGAGCUCAUCUUGUGAGUUUUACAGCUUCUGCCUUCAGGAC
Molecule: long non-coding RNA, 215 nt
Filed under: Fukomys damarensis (Damara mole-rat)
Lineage: Eukaryota; Metazoa; Chordata; Mammalia; Rodentia; Bathyergidae
Description: lncRNA (ENSFDAG00000023562.1)
Source: RNAcentral